This 433-nucleotide ribosomal RNA is filed under the name uncultured bacterium. RNAcentral describes it as "partial 16S ribosomal RNA". It matches the Rfam family "Bacterial small subunit ribosomal RNA", at positions 29 to 507 of the family's 1533-position model. The record is from RNAcentral.
AACGAACGCUGGCGGCAUGCCUAACACAUGCAAGUCGAACGAGACCUUCGGGUCUAGUGGCGCACGGGUGCGUAACGCGUGGGAACCUGCCCUUAGGUUCGGAAUAACUCCCCGAAAGGGGUGCUAAUACCGGAUAAUGUCUUCUGACCAAUGAUUUAUCGCCUUUGGAUGGGCCCUCGUUGGAUUCGCUAGUUGGUAGGGUAAAAGCCUACCAAGGCGACGAUCCAUAGCUGGUCUGAGAGGAUGCUCAGCCACACUGGGACUGAGACACGGCCCAGACUCCUACGGGAGGCAGCAGUGGGGGAUAGUGGACAAUGGGCGAAAGCCUGAUCCAGCAAUGCCGGGUGAGUGAUGAAGGCCUUAGGGUUGUAAAGCUCUUUUAACCGGGAUGAUAAUGACAGUACCGGGAGAAUAAGCUCCGGCUAACUCCGUG